This 498-nucleotide ribosomal RNA is filed under the name uncultured bacterium. RNAcentral's name for it is "partial 16S ribosomal RNA". It matches the Rfam family "Bacterial small subunit ribosomal RNA", at positions 29 to 523 of the family's 1533-position model. The record is from RNAcentral.
AUUGAACGCUGGCGGCAUGCCUUACACAUGCAAGUCGAACGGUAACGCGGGGCAACCUGGCGACGAGUGGCGAACGGGUGAGUAAUGCAUCGGAACGUGCCCAGAAGUGGGGGAUAGCCCGGCGAAAGCCGGAUUAAUACCGCAUGAGACCUGAGGGUGAAAGCGGGGGGUCGCAAGACCUCGCGCUUUUGGGGCGGCCGAUGUCAGAUUAGCUAGUUGGUGGGGUAAAGGCCUACCAAGGCGACGAUCUGUAGCUGGUCUGAGAGGACGACCAGCCACACUGGGACUGAGAAACGGCCCAGACUCCUACGGGAGGCAGCAGUGGGGAAUUUUGGACAAUGGGCGCAAGCCUGAUCCAGCCAUGCCGCGUGCGGGAAGAAGGCCUCCGGGUUGUAAACCGCUUUUGUCAGGGAAGAAACGCUCUGGGCUAAUACCCUGGGGUAAUGACGGUACCUGAAGGAUAAGCACCGGCUAACUACGUGCCAGCCGCCGCGGUAA